This 71-nucleotide unclassified non-coding RNA is filed under the name Lachnospiraceae bacterium C7. The record is from RNAcentral. Lineage: Bacteria; Bacillati; Bacillota; Clostridia; Lachnospirales; Lachnospiraceae.
AAGCGCCGUAUACCGAACGGUACUUACGGUGCUGUGAGAGGACGGGAGCUAAUCACUCCCUCUUAUUCGAU